UGGACCAGUGAUGAGUGUCAUGGGGUUUCUGAAACAGGAAUUUUGAUUAAACCCAUCUGCAACUCUGAGGUCCAUU
This is a small nucleolar RNA of Sorex araneus (European shrew), 76 nucleotides long. Lineage: Eukaryota; Metazoa; Chordata; Mammalia; Eulipotyphla; Soricidae. The record is from Ensembl.